Molecule: ribosomal RNA, 1167 nt
Filed under: Haementeria acuecueyetzin
Lineage: Eukaryota; Metazoa; Annelida; Clitellata; Rhynchobdellida; Glossiphoniidae
Description: 16S ribosomal RNA
Rfam family: Eukaryotic large subunit ribosomal RNA (bases 510-1167)
Source: RNAcentral
UAAUAUGACAUUAUCUAUUCUUAUAAUAACUUAAAAUUAAGAAAAUAUAUAAUAAUAUAAUAGUACUGCAAAGGAAAUAUAAAUUUUAAAAGUAGCUAAUAACGUACCUUGUGCAUAAUGGAUUUUCAAGAAAUUAUUAUUACAUAAAUACCCGAAGUCUUAAUGAGCUUAAAAUAUAUUGUUAAGAACUUAUAGAUAAAUGUUUCAAUAUUUACUAAAAAUAUAUUUUAAGAAGCUAUAUACUUACCGCAUAAGAAUAUAUCUGGUUUCUAUAAAACAUUAUAUAUUAAACCAUCUAAUUUAGAAUGUUAAAUAAUAAAAGAUAAGUUUUAUUACUUUACCCAUUUAAUAAAAUAAUACACUCAAAUAGUAAGCUUAAUAUCAGCUAUCUGUAAUUACUUUAUCGUAAACUAAAUAAUUUAAAUAAAUAAUAAAAUUUAAUGGACAUACAUAUAUAGAUAUAAAUUACAAUUAUAAAUAUUUUUUAAAUAUGAAAAUAUUAGUAUUUCAUAAACUAUAAAAAAGGAAUUAGGCAAAUUCAUUUUUCGACUGUUUAACAAAAACAUUUCUUUUAGUACUUAUUAAAAGUAGGCCCUGCCCAAUGAAUACUUGAAUGGCCGCGGUAUCCUGACCGUGCAAAGGUAGCAUAAUCAUUUGUUUAUUAAUUGUAAACUAGAAUGAAAGGGUUAACGAAAAUAUAACUGUCUCUUUUAUUAUAACAAAAAUUAUUUUCUAAGUGAAGAAACUUAAAUAAAAUUAAAAGACAAGAAGACCCUAUAGAGCUUUAUAUUAACAAUAAAAACUUUAUUCUAAUAUUUGGUUGGGGCGACCUAGGAAUAUUAAACAUCCUAAUUUAAUUUAGAUAUAUUUAUCUUUUAUAGAUCCUAUUUCGAUCAAUAAAUUAAGUUACCUUAGGGAUAACAGGCUAAUAUUUUUUGAGAGUUCUUAUCAACAAAAAUGUUUGGCACCUCGAUGUUGGCUUAGGGUCCCAUAUUGAUGCAGAAGUUAUAUAUGGAGGUUUGUUCAACCUAUAAAUCCCUACAUGAGCUGAGUUCAGACCGGCGUAAGCCAGGUUAGAUUCUAUCUUUAAUUAAAAUAAUUAUUUAUAGUACGAAAGGACCUAAAUAAUACUAAAUUAGUAUUAAAUUUUAUAUUUUAUACACUAUA